UGGGGGAUGGGAGGAUGUUGCCAUGACAACUGCCAUAAUAAUCAUCCUAAUGAUUGAUGUGCUGCACUCCGUUUCUCUCCAUUUGGACUCUCUCUCUCUCUCUCUCUCGCUCUCGCUCUCUGUCUCUCUCUCUCUCUCUCUAAAUCUAAAUCUGUCUGUAGGAGAUGAUAUUCUGUGUUCAUUACAUUAUAACAAGGAAGACUGUGAUAAACAUGAAGACAAACAUACACACAAAUGUUUAAUGAUAUCUUAAUAGGACACUGAAAUAUUGUUUAUUAUGACAAAUUACUCGUUUAUUUGAAACAUUUCUCAGCUGUGUUUGGUAGUAAAAGAUUGAUUAUGAAAAGAAGAGGGGAGAAGAAAAAAGAGGUGCUGCUAUGUCUCCUGUGUAGGAGUCUGAGUCAUUCUAAUGUCAUUGCAUUAGACCAUUCGUUUUGUGUGUAAAAUUGUGAGGUGUGUGUACGCGUGUGUGUGUACGGGCUCAUACAUACAUAUCUAAUUUCCUCUUGGGGAUAAAUGAAGUUCUUCUUAUCAUAUCUUAUACAAACCCCAAAUAGUUCUGUAAUUAAAUAAUUGCUCUACAAACUUUAAACUAAGCGACCUUUUGCGCUUGUCCUGUCAGAAAUAGCUUCCACUCACAGAUUUUUAAAAAAAGUUUAGAUGAAUCAACAAUCUGCCUCUUUUCUAUUCUUAAGUUUGUUUAAUAGCUUAUAUUUUGUUAAUAUAAACCUAACUGCCCUCUGCUCUGUGGCAGAUGAUAGCAUAUAAUUGAUGAAAUGUCCUGUUUCAGAAAUAAUUCUCUGUAUGAUCAUUUCUUAUAUUGCUAUGCCAUAAUAUAAUGUGGUUCUAAUUCUGAUUUUCUGCUUCCACAUGAGAGAAUCUUAUUCAGUGUAGGACUCAGGAUUAAUUUGACAUUGAUUUGAUGCUAUAACAUAUUUUAUAUUACACAAGUACAGAUAGGACUGGCAAAGUAUAAUGUGAUGUUCUUUAAAGUGUCUCAAUAUUAUAAAUGACAUGUUCAACAUUUCUCUUCUAUAACAUAAUCUGACUCUUAAAAGACACAUUUUAAAAGCAAGUCCUGAGGAGUUGUGCGCAAAAACUAAGUGAAAUAUCAAUUAAGAUGCAUUUCACUCAUUCUCUUUUAAUUAAUACCUUUUAAACAGGAUAAAAAUAAAAAAAAUAAACUUAGCAUGACUAUUAAUAAUAACAAUAAUAAUGAUAAUAUUGUAAUAAUAUUUUUUUUGAUAUAAUAAUAGUAAUAAUAAUAAUGAAAAUAAUUAUAGUAAUGAUGAAUAAAUAUAAAUUAUUAUCAUUAUUAUUAUUAUUAUUAUUAUUGUUGUUGUUGUUGAUGAUUUUAUUAAUAUUGCUUAUUAAAGUAUUAUAAUACUUUUAGAUUUUUUUAUUACUUAUACUUCUACUACUACUACUACUAAUAAUAAUAUCUUAAUCUUUUAUAUUUUUGGCAUAAUGUAAUUAUUUUUUUCUUUUUGCUUCAUUCUUAUUUUAAUGAAUUAAAUUAUUUUAUUGUUUCACUUUUUCCAGUGACAGAUUUGAUAAUUCAAGCAACAUUUAAAAAACCAAUUUAAUAUUAAUUUUAAAAAUUGCUUUUACAAAAGGACACAAGACACUAAAGCCCAACAGUAGGGUUGGUAAUCACGGCAGUGUAGCAUGAAUUUGAAUGUAGCAUUUCCUCAGGACUUUGUCUAGUCCUUCCACCCUCCACUUAGAGCUCUUCCAAAACAACGGCCCUGCUCACCUGCACGAGCACUGCUGUCUGCUGAUUCAAAACCACAGACUCCAAAAUUUGGGACUUUAGAUCGGAAAGUCUUUGCACAGCAGGGACAAAGAAGGUAGCAUUAGCAUCGGGAUGACCACAUAACCAGCAACAUGGCUAAAUACUUGAUCAAGAUUAAAAAUCGCCCUGUAACAAAUCCUCAACGUUCCUUUCCAACAGAAAAUUAGUGACCAUAGCAUCACUUUUAAAGCCCUUGACCUCUUUCAGUUCUCUCCAUCGUUGAAAAGCUGUCCCGAUGUUGACUUUCAUUUUCACACUUGCUUCUCUGAACUCUGUCUUGCUUCAGCCUUCUCUGCCUCCGUCUUUCUUUUCUUGCUAUUUUUGCAGAAGGAGCAGUCACCAUUAAUCUGGGUGUAGGUAGUUUUUCUGCCAUUCUCCUGUGUAGCUGUAUCCCUCUCAGCUCGACUAUGUGCAUUGAAUCGGGGCCAUGAACCACAAGAAGUGGGCAUGGGAUAUGAUUGGUUUUAAAAAUGUGGGACCCACACGAUGUGAUUGUUUGGUGUUUUCCCAGUUUUUCUCCUGCUGCAGAUAGUGGCUGUGCUCUUUUUUUAAGAACAUAUCAUGUAUUGAUUGCCAUCGUAACUUAAAGAUAAUUUUAACCAGAAUAACAAAAGUGUAUCUUUAUCAGAUUACCAACCCUACCUUUAACUAAAACCUGACCAGCCACAUGACAGGUUUUAAAAAGUUUCUUUUUUUCCAGACAAGUGUACCACAAAUACUUUAUAUGUGUGUAGCUGUUCUGAGUUCUUAGUUUUUUAUUUUUAAGUGACUUUUUUAUUCUGUUACCUUUAUCACCCAUGUGAUCCAAUUCAUGUUUUGUUUCUCUUUCUAGUGUGAUAACAUUGGUGUUUGUGUGUGUGUGUGUGUGUGUAGCGCAGACCUCAUCGCUACAUAGUCAUCUAUACAAACUGACAAGCUGUCAGCCAUACUAUCUUCUUUUGCUGAACUUUCUCCCUCUCUGUUUCUCUCACCCUCUUUAUCUCUUAUGCAUACAAGCAAACACACACUCACAGACUCACUCACGAUGCACACACACUCAUACACAUGCAUGCAUGCAUGCAUGCAUGCAUGCACACACACACAAUUACACAAUCAAUCUAUCUCCUCUCUGACACAGUGUCCUUGUGGCCUGCAGUUGUGCUGUGGAGUUUUGUGAUUAUGCAAACUUAUCUGCCUGAAGCUGGUGUCCCCCUCUUUACAUAUAUGUAUGACCAGGGGCGGAUCUAGAAAAAUAUUCAUGGGGUGGCAAGAGGGGGGCAGGAAUUUUUGAGGGGUGGCAACAUAUGGCAGAUAUAUACUGAGUUUGAUCAAUACAAAAAGGCAUUGCUGCCAUUUACAAACAUGACAGACAUUCUUCGUCCAAUACAAUCUUUCUUUUAUUAGGAUUCUCACACCAGUAAGAUUAAUACGAUGAGGCAUGUAAAAAUAAAAACAACAACCCAUUGCAGCUCCAUGGAUUUAGACCAGUGUCACAUUUUAAACGUUUCUCAUAUGCAAGCAUGAAAAUGGGUCAGGGGUUGAAAAGGUGAGAAGGGUGCGGAGGAAAUACGUUCCGGUACACUGUACAACCCAACAAAAUAUUGAGCUCUGUUCACCCACAUUGUGUUUCAGUGAUCUGCAGGAGGCGGCAAAAACACUCCAAGUCACACCUGCUUGCUUUUUUGCAGAUGCCUGCUUUUGCUAUUUUAGAUGGCUCAAAACCAGGGCCGUAGCCAGGAUUUUGGAAUAGGUGAGGUCCAUGAUGCGCGCGCUGAAGUUUUUUUUAAUGUUUUUUUUUUAUUACAAUUUUUUAGGCUACAAGUCACACAAGAUGUUUAUUGUUUAAAUAUAUUUUAUUUAUUUUAACUUUUUUUUAAAUUUUAUUCCAUUCUCCUCCGUGUGCCUCUGCUCCCCUUCCAUCUCUGAAUGACUCUCCUCUCUCUGCUACACCUAACUUUCCCUAUUCUCUCUUCCAUCCUCCUUGGUUUCAUGUUUACUAUCUUCCUCUUUGUCAAUUUCUUUCUUUUUCUUUGCCAGAAAUGCAUCCAGGGUAUUCUGUUUUAAUCUCUUGAACAUGUUUGCCCUGCUCUCUGUGACUUGUUUUCUGUGGAAUGGGUAUAUUAAAAUUAAUAUGAGCUGCAAACUUGCUAGAUAAACUGAACAUUAAUAUCUAAAAGUGCCCCCUCUAACUUUUUAACCCAUAUGUACUUUCACUUACCAAAUGAUUUCUUGAAGUUGACAUAUAAGGUACUCAGAAGGUCUACUAUUUUUUACUGUUUUUAAACUGUUGGGUUUAUUUUGUAGCGGCUUUAGAAGAGUGCUAUGAUGCAAACGUGUACAAAUAACUAAGACGUCGCCUGAACUGCACUAAACAAAGCAAACGUCACGUAACUCGAGUGCUGCGUCCGAACUGCCCGCUCGGAUACUACAUGCUACUGCUACGUGCUACUGCUAGAUCCUACUCCUACAUACUAAACACGUUGGCCCAAUUCGGACACACUAGACGAGCGGUGGGGAAAGACGACCCCCGCAGGCAGAGAGUAGGUACUGCGCCCGUGCAGACAGUGGUAACUGAAGCCCCUCAUCUGCGGGCCUGGCUGUAGUACUGCAGCUGUGCAGUUUAAUGAUGGAAUAAGUGAGCUUUACCUCCAUGAUGUCGCCACAUAUUUGCUCAUAAAAUGAUUACUUGGGCAAAUAUGACACCAUGACAUGACAAAGAGAUACAACCGCACAUUUUUUAGGACAGUGUGUGAAGUUACAUGAAACUUACAUCUGUACUGCUGCGGUCCCGCGACAUGGUGCGCGCUGUUGUGGCCAGCCGGCGUUCGCGAUACAUUUAAAUAGGCAGAGCAGCUGGUGGCGCUAGCAUCACAUGCGCUUCUACAACUUUUAAGAGGACGAAGAAGAAGCCCGUGGUGCAUUUUGGGUCAGUAGCAUGCCCGUAGGAUGCACCGAGACCAACCUACAAUGUGGGCGUGUCUAGUAUCUGAAGUAGUAUCUGAAGUAGCAUGCUACUCGCUCCGGUGGCCAAUUCGGACAUGCUAGAUACUACUUCGACUUCUACUUCGACUACUACUUGGCAAUUCGGACGCAGCUAAAGUCCUCGAGUAGUCGCAUCAUCGUGACGCGUACUCGGCCAGCUGAUGAGCCGGGCGCUCAUCAAAAAAGAAAAUAAGCGCCGGGCGCGCUCUCCGCUGUGGAUAAAAGUAAAUAAACUGGCUUUGAUCAGAUGAUUUGACUGGCCGAACUAGUGCCGAAUUAUCUAAAAAAUAUAUAUUGUGGUCACCUAGGUGUAGAUGGGCGGGGAUUUGGUCUAUGAAGUGCUAAUAAUAAAAAUACUUUAGUUUUUGAAUGGGGUUUCACAGGGCGCAGUCGCGGGUACGUGCAUCAGCUGAUCAAACAGCUGUUCACCGCAACACGCACAGAGGCACAAACAGAACACAAAGCCCAUGGAUGUUUACCACAAUUUACAAGCACGUUUCACAGAGAGGUUUCAAGUUUUUAUAAGUUUAUGUUUUAUUCAGUUGGGCGUAUUUGGCGGAAAAAAACCUCGGAAAAAAUAGGGGAGUCAAGGUAAAGAACAAUAAACUUUCGGGACAGCAAAUAUUCUGAAUCAGAGGGCUAUUGUUUUCGGCUAAUCUGUAUAACCUGAAUGAAAUCAUUAAAGGCACACGCUUUUGAAUCCGUCCAACGGUAAGGAAAACUUCGAUUAUUUCGCCUUGUUACGUACUUUCAACCGCGCUCUCGUCAGGGGGGCAUUCUACGGCAGGGGUGCAUUCUACGGCACAACACCGGCGUGGAUAAGUCCUGCUUCUCGUUCUCGCAGCUUUGCAAUGCUACCACAGGCUCUCCAAGUACUCCAAGUACACGUGAAGAGUGUGCGCAUGAUUGGUUCUCGUCAGCGAAGCAGCCAGGAGGAUUUGCUGACCGUCCAAGUGUCAUUUAAAGGGCCGAUUUCUGAAGUGUUCAGUUUACGUAUUAAGUCAAUCACAUGAUAAUUAAAAAAUAAAUAAAUAAAUCUCCCGACCCCGACCCCCCCCUAAAAAAAAUUCUCCUCGGAUCUACAGGAUUCAUGUAAGUCACCUUUUUUGACUUCAAAACGGCGAAUUUCGCCGAACGGUGAGAGAUUUUCAUGCCUGAAAUGGCUUUUACCUCUUUCCUCGUGCCUUCUUCCUCGGCUCCCGACUGUCUCUCUCUCGCUUCGAGCCCAUAGACUGUAGCUGCGUCCGAAUUGCCAAGUAGUAGUCGAAGUAGUAGUCGAAGUAGUAUCUAGCAUGUCCGAAUUGGCCACCGGAGCGAGUAGCAUGCUACUUCAGAUACUACUUCAGAUGCUAGACACGCCCACAUUGUAGGUUGGUCUCGGUGCAUCCUACGGGCAUGCUACUGACCCAAAAUGCACCGCGGGCUUCUUCUUCGUCCUCUUAAAAGUUGUAGAAGCGCAUGUGAUGCUAGCGCCACCAGCUGCUGCCUAUUUAGAUGCGUCGCGAACGCCGGCUGGCCACAGCAGCGCGCACCAUGUUGGAGCAGCAGCAGGCGGGACCGCAGCAGUACAGAUGUAAGUUUCAUGUAACUUCACACACUGUCCUAAAAAAUGUGCGGUUGUAUCUCUUUGUCAUGUCAUGGUGUCAUAUUUGCCCAAGUAAUCAUUUUAUGAGCAAGUGGCGACAUCAUGGAGGUAAAGCUCACUUAUUCCAUCAUUUAACUGCACAGCUGCAGUACUACAGCCAGGCCCGCAGAUGAGGGGCUUCAGUUACCACUGUCUGCACGGGCGCAGUACCUACUCUCUGCCUGCGGGGGUCGUCUUUCCCCACCGCUCGUCUAGUGUGUCCGAAUUGGACCAACGAGUUUAGGAUGUAGGAGUAGGAUCUAGCAGUAGCACGUAGCAGUAGCAUGUAGUAUCCGAGCGGGCAGUUCGGACGCAGCAUGUAUGUUCGCGCCUCUCCCAUCAAAGAAGUCUCGUGUCGCUCUCGCGCUCUCUCGUGCUGCAUUUACUGUCGUCGGACAUCGGAACUUCGCGCUCGUACCUGUUACAUUUUUCUAUCGGUUCAUUGCUGCCGGUUGGGGUGGCAGCAGGGGUGGCAAGGGUUAAUUUUAGGGUGGCACCUGCCACCCCAUGCCACCCCAGUAGAUCCGCCCCUGUGUAUGACCUAAUACUCCCUACCAACACAGUAGCACAUAAUUUACAUUUAAUAUCUGUAAAACCCUAUACCACUACACUCACAGUCUGCAGGUCAGCCCGUUGUACCAAAAGUCUCUAAAAGUAGUAUUGGAGGUAGAGCUUUCAGCUAUCCAGCACCUCUCCUCUGGAAUCAUUGACUGCUUGAGGUUAGGGGGGCAGACACCCUCUCAACUUUCAAGAGUAGACUUAAAAACUUUCUUUAGCUUAUAGUUAGGGCUGGCGUGAACGAGCUCUUAGUUAUGCUGCUAUAGGUUUAGACUGCUGGGGGAACUGGCACACUGAGCUCCUGUCCUGUCUAUCCCUUUCUCUCCUUUAGAUCCUCACGUCCCAUUAUACCUACUAAGAUCUCUUCUUCUAAGUUCAACAGACUUACUUUGUGUGUAGCCUUUUUUGAUGGAAUGAUCUCUGACCUGUUUUCUUUUUUGUGCUGUAGUGGGUAAUAUCUUUUUAUUAUGACCUCACAGUGUGUGAUGUGAAAACACAGUUUGAUUUUGAGUAUAGAGAGAAGAGCAUUGGAUUAUGCCAGUAAAAUUACAGGUUAUGUUCACAGUUUUGGGUUUGGGUUUGGAAAAUUUUUCUUAAACUUUACACGCAUGCACACACUUUUAUCUUUUAUAACAAGAUAAAGUUGUUAGGGUUAUAAUGCGCAAUCAGACCCACAAUUCAAAAAGUUAGCUUUGCUUGAAGGUAUAUUAUGAAUUAUACUUUUAUGCAUUACAGUAUGUUCACUACUUAAAGACAUCAUUAAAAUUGCAGUAAGUUGUAAACAAUGCUUGUAAUUGUUUAUAAGGACUUUUUUUUAAUAUAAGCUUUGUUAGAGCCCAAAAUGUAACAAUGACCCAAAAUGUUAUAAAAAAUGUAAUAAAGCCUGAAAUGUGAAAAUUUGUCAAUAAUGUUACAAAAAUGUUGAGACCGAAAUGUAAUAAAAUUUUUUUUAAACAACUGAAAAUGUAAUAACUGACCCAAAAUGUAAAACUUGCUACAUUUUGGCCAAAAAGUUAAUACGUGAUGGGGUGCAGCAUCUUUUUACAUAAUUAACAAGUUAUUAUAUAUUGUGUUUUAUAAAAAAAAAUUUAAAUUACAUUUGGGGUCAUUGUUACAUAUUGGGCUCCAACAAGUCUUGUAAAUGCAUUUAUAAGGCUUUAUAAAUGUACUUAUAACACACUCGGAGUUCUAGGUUCAUAUGAAGUGUUGGUGAAAUGUCUCUGAAUAACUCUUAAACUCUUUUUUUUUCCCAAAUUCCUCCACCUUUCUUUGCAUUUUCUCUCUCUUAUACCAGUGAGCUAUUACACCUAAAUGAUUACGUUCUCUGCUCCAUGAGUGGAUUGCUGUGCUAUGAAUCUAUAAUGUAAUCCCCCAACAUGGAGAGACACACAUCAAUCAUAUGUGACAGAACAUUACUGUUUCAACCCACCUGAUAUGGUGGAAAUGCAUGGAAAUCUGAGAACUGUAAGAGAGAGAGAGAGAGAGAGAGAGAGAGAGAGUGCAUGUGUGUUUGUAUAUGUAUGUGUGUAUCUGUGUAUGUGUUUAUGUGCAUACUACGCCUGCAGCACAGGCAUGACACGUUUGUUUGCAGCUAGAUUUUUGUAUUCUCUUAAAAGAUGCUGUGUAAGUGUUUAUGAAUGUGUGUGCGUCUAUGUGAUAGUACAUGUAGAUCUAAGUAUUGCACUCCCCUGUGCAUCUGAAAUACAUGUCUGCAUUCUUUAGUGCGUAUGUUCAUGUGAUGCAGUGUGUGUAUCCUGUGAGUGUGUAGCAGUAGUAGUAGUUUUAUAGAGAGGAGCUGUGUGUGUGGGGGAGGAGAACGUAGAAGUGAAUUAUGCCUUUUUUCUGAAGGGGAGGGGUGCAUAUAUGUUACGUGGGGGAUGGGCAGAUUGCAUACUGUAUGUAUGUUCACAAAGUAUGUGUGGGCUGGUUUAUGGCAUGAACGUGUAUCUUAUAUGUGCAAAAGGAAAAAAAAGGGAUGUAGUAGAAAACAAAAAGAUUCCUCCUUGUCUGAGAAUAAACUCUGCAUCCUGUAUGCACCUCUGUUUUAACUUAUAUGCACACAUGUUAGAAAAUUUGUUUGCUAUUAGUGUUUCAACAGGUUUUCGAUGUGUUGUGUUUUUUUCUAUAUGAUACACAUAUUUGUAACCAAGUAUGCAGUUACGUUAUUGAGUAUGCAGUACAUGUGUGAAUCUGUGAUGUGCACAUAAAUAACUUUGUGUGUUUGUGUGUAUGUGUGUGUGUGUGAGAGAGAGAGGAUCUCCUAACUGAAAUGUACUGUUUACUCAUUAAGAAUCGCCUAAAAAGGCAGCAAAGCUCAUUAUUGUUCUUUAGUUUGCAUUGAGCUGCUUCUGUUUCUAUAAACACAGUCUGUUUCAGUAAUGUAUGUACUUCAUCCUUCUCUCUUGGUUAAUUCUUGUAUCUGAUUGUUGUCUAAAUAAAUUAAAUGAUUUCACUUGACUUGUGGUAGAAAGCAUAACAAACUCAAACUGAAAGAACAGACUGUAGAGUCAGUAAAACUCACAACCAUCAUCAUCGACCUUUAUUUUAGCCAGGAAAAUCAUCAAGGUUUCCCACAUUCACAAUGACAUCAAGAAACAUUUAAAACAAACCCAAAUUGACCAGUGUUGCUGUGUGAAAACAAAAGCACAUAGAAAUUAUCAACUUUCAUCAUGAUCAGCAGGAAGAUUCAAUAUAAUCAGCUGCAAUUGUCCUCAAGAAAGAAUGUUCAUCCUCAUUAAUGCAUAAAUUAGCUUUGCAUUUUCAAGGAUCACACUUGAGUUGAUGCAAAUGCCCCUUUAUGUUUUCAAGAAUUAAAUAUAAGCUUUUCUUUUUUGGCUUUAAUACAUAGGCUUUAAUAUGUUUCAAUUACAUGUAAAUCAGUCAAGUACAUAUUAUAAAUCAACAAAAGAAAACUAUCAUUUGAGUGUGAAGCAGAUUUAAAGCUAUGCAGAGAAGAAAAUUUAUGCUGAUUUUUACAACAUGCAUUAAUCACCUGUAAUAACAUUGGGACAGCUUUGAUACUAUAAUAUGAACAGUUUUUAAGAGGUUUAAUGACAGCCUUAGUUCAGAGGCCCAAAUCUACACCUGUUAAUUUUACUUAGAGAAAUCUUUAAUUUCUAUACCUAUUGCCUAUGUUCUGUUGAUAUUCGUAAAUUUCAUUAAUUCAUUAACACGGACAUACAGUAAUGCUAAUGCUAAUUUGAAACAGCUUUCACGAAUGGAGCCAUGUGUUUUAACAGUAGGUGGGGCUCUGAAUUUGAGAAAGUUAUGAUCAGUAGAAAUCAUUAUGAGAGUACAUCAAUCAGUGAUGACUGAAAAGUGUUUGAAAACGGAAAAUACCAGUUUCCAAAAAAGACUUACGUCCUGAAAAACUCUGGAAAAAAUUUUGCACUUAAGUAUUAGGACAAGCAAAAAAAAAAAGAGCAAUUAUUGGAGUUUUUCUAAAGUCUGCUGCCCCAGCUCUGUUUUUUGUUGUACGAUCAAUACUUGAAAUAGGAAUGUUUGUUGUAGGUAUGCUCUUUGUAUAUACAUAAUAUUACAAUGCUACUAGACUUUACACUCUUAAGAAAAUGGCAAAUAUAUAUAAGACAAAUGAAAUCUUUAAUGUGACCUUUUUACUCUGUUCUACUACAUGGACUCUAGCCACCUGCUGGAUGUUUUCACUCAAGCAAACGUGCAAUGUCAGGGUUGGUUUUCUCAAAGCUAUUUAUUGUCAACUUGAUUCUGGGGGGCUGUUAAACCACAACUUUAUCACAUUCAAGCUAAGGCAAUCAUUGGCUAGAAGUAAUAUCUGCAUUCAUAACAUCAUAAUGUUUCCAUUCCAGGACAGUGUGAUAACCGCACGUUUCAUCACUGGAGUUAGAAAUAUUUGUUGAAAAAAAAAGCAUCAGUGAACUGUAGCUCAUCCCCAUAGAUGAGUUUUUAAGAGCAAACCUCUUCAAUCCUUCAAAAGAUAAGUCUGGUGAGGGCUGAACAUUUAAGAAAUUUUUUGAAUAUUGUCAGUAUGUCUUAAUGAAUAUUGUCCAUGUCUGAAAGAGGGUGCAGAAGACUGUCAUGUUUCAACCAUCUGACAGUCAGCAGAGCUAAAGAGCCAGCACAAAGAGGAGACUUUGUGUAAAUCUGUAGCUCUUGAAGUUAAAUUGCAUGCAGUUUCAAUAGGAGGUUUUCAGUCACGUGAUCCUGACUUCGCGCGAGGACCAAAUGGAGGAGAUGCGCCGUUUUAGAGGCGUGCCGGUAUUUAGCCUUAGAUAAAGUUUACCACCCGCUUUGGGCUGCAUUCCCAAACAACCUGACUCCGAGAAGACCGGACCCCGGUGCGACAGAUAGGGGCCGAAAGGACCCCCUUUUUACCUGUCCGCCCCCUCCGGAGCUCUGGGGCGCUCCCGGCGUGUCUGGCCACUCCACACCCCCCUCCCUACACAGUUUGACACGACUCAACUUCGGAAUGAAAGAAUUUAACUAUGGGCUAAAAAUGAGUCAUUACCUUUGACAAAGUGGUCACUGCACACACGGGCAUUAUCCGACGCAGCUCCUCCAGACCGUAGGCCAGUGGUUUUUAAGUCCAGUCCUCGAGCCCUAGCCACUAGCAUGCUUUUUAAUUUUUAAAAUAUAAUUAUAUAUUGUAUAAAAUUAUAAAAAUAUAAAAUUAUAUAAAAUAUAAUCAUAUUAUAUAAUCAUGGAUAUCAGCUUUGUUAGGGACCAAUACUGACAUGUUACUUUUUACGAAAAAAUGACAUCAAUAAUCCCAAUUUACUGGCAUGGCAUGGUAUAGCAUCUACCCCCUCACAGUGGUUACACCCUGUAAAAAAUAAACGUGACAGAAUUUGUCAGUUUUGUUGCUGACGGUCUUUUCGACUUUAAGCUAGACCAACAGCAGGAAAAUGGACCAUAUCACACCUGUCCUCAUGUCCUUGCGCUGGCUCCCUGUGAGUCAAAUGAUAGAGUUGAAAAUCCUGUUACUGGUCGACAAAUCACUGAAUGGUUUUAAAUACAUGUCAGAGCUGCUGGUCGGGUAUGAAGCAUCUAGACCCCUCAGGUCAUCAGGGACAGGUCUAUUCAUUUUUCCUAGGGUCAGAACCAAGCAGGGUGAAGCUGUAUUCAGC
Non-coding RNA from Xyrichtys novacula (pearly razorfish), 12040 nucleotides. The record is from the annotation of a GenBank genome assembly. NCBI's taxonomy places the organism in Eukaryota, Metazoa, Chordata, Actinopteri, Labriformes, Labridae.